AUUUAAAAUUACAAAAUAUACCAAAAGAGUGUAGAUUUCAAAAGUUUAAUACAAACACAAGAAAUAAACUCAAUUAUUUGGAUUCAACUAAAAAUAGAAAAAUGUGUACUUUAAAAAUCAAACACAAAAAACUUUUAAGUAUUUAUAAACACUUGUCCAAAAAUUCUAGUUCAAGGUCAAAGCGCGUGAAAUUAAAUUCAACGAUGCAAAUAGGCUAUACUGCAUUCAAGUUAGGGUCGAAAGUUGAAACUUCUUUCCUAAAUUGUAUCCUGCUGAUACGCUAAGAAUAAUCUACAGACAUAUGGACUUAAACAUAAGAUUUACAAUUGUAUGGAUAAUGCCUGUUUCUGUUUCAUUCAUCACAUGAUAUCCCUAUCGUGCGCUCACUCACUCUGGCCGAUUCGAUACGAACCAAACGAAUAUUGCUGAUAUUCACGAAUCGGUACGUUAUGCCGAUGCGCAUCACAUCGAGCAAUAUCGUGUAUCGGCUGAUAUCGAUAUAUAGAUUUCGAUUCACGAAUCGGUACGAUAUGCCGAUGCGCAUCAUAUCGAGUAAUAUCGUGUAUCGGCUGAUAUCGAUAUAUAGAUUUCGAUUCACGAAUCGGUACGAUAUGCCGAUGCGCAUCACAUCGAGCAAUAUCGUGUAUCGGCUGAUAUCAAUAUAUAGAUUUCGUGCGGGGCGAUAUCGGAUUCAACGAUAUUGCUGCGAUAUAUAGAUAUUGAAUCUAUAUACGAUUUAUAUCACCCACUCCUAACUGACAUACGCAACGAGAAUUCAUACGCAAACUUGACCUUUGAGUGUCAUAACUUUGUCUAAUGUCAAUACUCCUGAUCGUUCACAUUUCUUAGUAAUUAAUUACCUUUGGCUUCAGAAAAUAAUUAGGAAGGCUGUGGGUGUAUGGUACGUCCGAUACAAAUGCGCCAAUCUGGCCAAUAAAUCUAUGGGCCAUUAUGAAUUAGCGGAUGUCGUAUAAACCUAGAAGAGAAGGUACUAAGCUCACUCUGCCUUACUGUAGCCGAGUUAAAGAAGUAUAUUCUGGUCUGCAGUCACACAGUUCUACUGAAACUUCAACCAUAACUCCAGACUGGCUCCUUUAUUAUUUUACGUUAAUUACACUCGAAGACUCAGCGAGGGUUGACAUCAUCCGGUGGCUGAUCGCAAGACUCAAGUUAAGUCCCUAUGCAGCAUGAUAAGAGAACAGUGACAUACUGCGUGGACCCCAUAUGAUGUGGGAUAAGGGCAUGGAGAAGUUAAUACAAAAAUCGUGUUCAAUAAUCCAUUGUAAAAUGUUUGUUAAAUUACCGUAUACAUAAUAUAAACAUUUCUACGACAAA
Molecule: long non-coding RNA, 1335 nt
Organism: Bombyx mori (domestic silkworm)
Lineage: Eukaryota; Metazoa; Arthropoda; Insecta; Lepidoptera; Bombycidae
Exons: 2
Source: RefSeq, a predicted model, not a curated record